GGAAGGAUCAUUAAAGCGAAUGAAAAAAGUCCGCGAAUAAAAGAUCUUGAAUAAAGAUUAUUUGGGUUUCUUGUCGUCCGAGAAGCGGCCACGCGCCAUAGCGCAAGUCCGCGUUCGACUCGAAGCUAACAAGGAUUGUCGUGAAAGAUUGUUCUUAGAGUGGAUUUUAUCCCCGUAAUUUUGAAAAUUAAGUUUUUUGAAAGGGAUACAGCCACGUGAUGCUCUAAGAAGAUAUACGAUCUAACAGUCCUUUCGAACGAUAUACAGACAAUCGAGGGUGUCUAUUUCUAGGGCGUAGUUGGUCUGGCUAUUCGAGAAGUCCUAGAAUAAGCUCGUUGGCGGUGUUCCCAUCGAGUAGACUUAAUGAGUUUCCUAGUGGAUGACUUCGGUCUCUGCGUCCAAGGCUCUCUCUAGUUUCUAGGAGAGUCUAGGGAACCGCCCUUAUUAGUUUCUCCGCUCCGAGAAAUGCUGGGACUCGUUGUUCCAUUCGAACGAUAUUAGUUCCCUAGUAGAGGACUUCGGUCUCUGCGCUGGCUCUCUCUAGUUUCUAGGAGAGUCUAGGGAACCGUCUUUUUUAGUUUCUCCGCUUUGAGAAACGUCAGGACUCGUGGGUGUCUAAUCGACGGGGUGUUGACUGUGAGUUCGUCUACAAGAAUUUGACCCCGAUCGAAGAAUCUCGAGCGACUAUUUACUCGAGUAGACUUAAUGAGUAGUCGACGUUUCAGCUACCGCCCGCUUAAAAUGUUUAACUUAAUAAAAUAAAAAAUCGACGGCCGCUUGUUGUCGUAGAUUUGUGAUUCUAGACGGUGGAUCACUAGGCUCGUGGGUCGAUGAAAAACGGGGCAAAACCCGAGAGUUAAUGUGAAUUGCAAACAUAUUGAACAUCGACGAUUUGAACGCAUAUUGCGGCAUAAGGUAUUCCUUGUGCCACGUUCGGUUGAGGGUUGUCUUUAUAGAAUCGAUGAGAUCGACUUAUAUCUUGUCGGAAUUGGUCGGCCGUUUGGUUCGCCAUUCGCCCGACUCAAGUUUUUGAGACGGCUUCGUACUUUUAAAGUCGUCAACGAUAUAGAAAAAAUUCGCAGUCUCCGACUAUUAGCGCGACGAUUAGAAUAUAUCGACGAUUCGAUAGACGUGUUCUAGAUCGGCUAAUCGUAGAAAGUCGAGUGUAUAGACUGACGAAUAAUAGACGCUAAAUAUAACCUCAACUCGAGCGUGAUUACCCGCCGAAUUUAAGCAUAUUAUUAGGCGGAGGAAAAGAAACUAACUAGGAUUUCCUUAGUAGCGGCGAGCGAACAGGAAUUAGCCCAGCGCUGAAUCCCUCGGCGGCUUUGUCGUUGGGAAUUGUAGCGUUAAGGAAAGUCGCUCCUUUGAAUCUAGUUUCGUAAGCUCCCUUGAUUGGGACCCCGUAGAGGGUGGAAGGCCCGUAACGAAAUGUUUUUUGAAGGUAUGAUUUUCCAUAGAGUCGGGUUGCUUGAGAGUGCAGCCCAAAGUGGGUGGUAAACCCCAUCUAAGGCUAAAUAUGACCACGAGACCGAUAGCGAACAAGUACCGCGAGGGAAAGUUGAAAAGAACUUUGAAGAGAGAGUUCAAGAGGGCGUGAAACCGUUUAGAAGUAAACGGGUAAAGCCGCGAGGUAGUCGCAAAAAUCAACCAAUUUACUAGUCCGCCUUGGUUUAAUCGACGUUUAAAGCGAUUUACCGGGCGUUUAUGGGCUAGCGCGUGGUGCACUUUUUGUGACGAAGCAUUGCGACUAAAGCGAAUUUCGGUGAACGAGGGAACGUGAAGACAGAGCCGAGUGUUCUGCGACUAAGUUCCUUGUUCGGGUGUACCGAUAAGACGUUUUAGUGACUCGAGUAGUCGCCGUUUGGCUCGCGAAGCAUCUAGACGUGGGUCGGUCGAAAUGUCCUUUCUAGCUCGCUGGAACGGACGACCCCCGGUUUGAGUCUAGGGUGUAUGCGAGAGACUACGAAGGUUCUGCAAUGUCCGUGGCGGCCGCUUACCCGACCCGUCUUGAAACACGGACCAAGGAGUCUAACAUGUGCGCGAGUUAUUGGGUGGUAAACCCAAAGGCGAAAUUAAAGUAAAGACCGCGUCUGGCGUGUCUAGAUACGAUCCUCGACUCGGUCGGGGCGGAGUAUCGUCACAUCUAUGUGGUGCGUCCACUGGGUGUAGAUAGAGCGUAAAUGUUGGGACCCGAAAGAUGGUGAACUAUGCCUGAGCAGAACGAAGCCAGAGGAAACUCUGGUGGAGGUUCGUAGCGGUUCUGACGUGCAAAUCGAUCGUCAGACUUGGGUAUAGGGGCGAAAGACUAAUCGAACCAUCUAGUAGCUGGUUCCCUC
This 2339-nucleotide unclassified non-coding RNA is filed under the name uncultured fungus. RNAcentral describes it as "sequence contains 18S rRNA gene, ITS1, 5.8S rRNA gene, ITS2, 28S rRNA gene". The stretch from base 1197 to 2339 matches the Rfam family "Eukaryotic large subunit ribosomal RNA", at positions 1 to 961 of the family's 3401-position model. Lineage: Eukaryota; Fungi. The record is from RNAcentral.